GUGUGGAUAGGGGAGAAAUUCCAAUCGAACCCGGAGAUAGCUGGUUCUCCUCGAAAUAGCUUUAGGGCUAGCCUCAUGCAAGUCUUACGGAGGUAGAGCACUGAAUUCCUAAGGGGGCGUCAAAGCUUACCAAGGGAUAUCAAACUCCGAAUGCCGUGUAGAUGGUGCAUGGGAGUCAGACUAUCCGAGAUAAGUUGGGUAGUCAAAAGGGAAAGAGCCCAGACCUACAGCUAAGGUCCCAAAAUGUGUGUUAAGUGGAAAAGGAUGUGGGAUUUCGAAGACAACUAGGAUGUUGGCUUAGAAGCAGCCAUCCAUUAAAAGAGUGCGUAAUAGCUCACUAGUCGAGAGGUCCUGCGCCGAAAAUGUCCGGGGCUGAAACACACUACCGAAGCUUGGGAAUUGACGAAUGUUAAUUGGUAGAGGAGCAUUCUUAACGGGGCGAAGCUGUACCGGAAGGAGCAGUGGACUGUUAAGAAGAGAGAAUGCCGGAAUGAGUAGCGAGAGGAAGGUGAGAAUCCUUCCGGCCGAAUAUCUAAGGUUUCCAGAGUAAAGCUGAUCUGCUCUGGGUAAGUCGGGGCCUAAGGCGAGGUCGAAAGACGUAGUCGAUGGAUAACAGGUAAAGAUUCCUGUACUAUAUCAUAACAGAACUGUGGGGACGCAGACAGAGAGCAUAAGCCGGGAAUGGAAAAACCGGUACAAGCGAGGUAGGAGUGCAUCAGGCAAAUCCGGUGCACAAUCUGAAGACGUGAUGUGGGGCGUAAAGCCGGAAGUAUGUGAGCUGGCUGCCAAGAAAAGCCGCUAUUGUUUAUGAUAUACCCGUACCGUAAACCGACACAGGUGGAUGAGGAGAGAAUCCUAAGGCCGACGGGAGAAGCAUUGUUAAGGAACUCGGCAAAAUGACUCCGUAACUUCGGGAGAAGGAGUGCCAUGUAAAAGUGGCCGCAGAGAAUUGGCCCAAGCAACUGUUUAGCAAAAACACAGGUCUAUGCAAAACCGAAAGGUGAGGUAUAUGGGCUGACGCCUGCCCGGUGCUGGAAGGUUAAGGGGAGAGGUUAGUCGUAAGGCGAAGCUUUGAACUUAAGCCCCAGUAAACGGCGGCCGUAACUAUAACGGUCCUAAGGUAGCGAAAUUCCUUGUCGGGUAAGUUCCGACCCGCACGAAAGGCGUAAUGAUUUGGGCACUGUCUCAACAAUGCACCCGGUGAAAUUGAAAUACCAGUGAAGAUGCUGGUUACCUGCGCCAGGACGGAAAGACCCCAUGGAGCUUUACUCCAGCUUGAUACUGGGAUUCGAUAUUGCAUGUACAGGAUAGGUGGGAGACUGAGAACUGAUGACGCCAGUUGUCAGGGAGUCACUGUUGGGAUACCACCCUUGUAGUAUUGGAUUUCUAACCAGCAGCCGUGAACCGGCUGGGGGACAAUGUCAGGUGGGGAGUUUGACUGGGGCGGUCGCCUCCGAAAGGGUAUCGGAGGCGCUCAAAGGUUCCCUCAGAAUGGUUGGAAACCAUUCGAAGAGUGCAAAGGCAGAAGGGAGCUUGACUGCGACACCGACGGGUGGAGCAGGUACGAAAGUAGGACUUAGUGAUCCGGUGGUAUAAAGUGGGAUUGCCAUCGCUCAACGGAUAAAAGCUACCCUGGGGAUAACAGGCUUAUCACUCCCAAGAGUUCACAUCGACGGAGUGGUUUGGCACCUCGAUGUCGGCUCAUCGCAUCCUGGGGCUGAAGUAGGUCCCAAGGGUUGGGCUGUUCGCCCAUUAAAGCGGUACGCGAGCUGGGUUCAGAACGUCGUGAGACAGUUCGGUCCCUAUCCGGCGUGGGCGUAGGAUAUUUGAGAGGAGCUGCCCUUAGUACGAGAGGACCGGGGUGGACUGGCCGCUGGUGGAUCUGUUGUAUUACCAAAUGCAUAGCAGAGUAGCCAAGCCGGGACGGGAUAAACGCUGAAGGCAUCUAAGCGUGAAGCCCCCCUCAAGAUGAGAUAUCCCAUAACGUCAAGUUAGUAAGACCCCUUGAAGACGACAAGGUAGAUAGGACAGAGGUGGAAGUGCAGUAAUGUAUGCAGCUGACUGUUACUAAUCGGUCGAGGGCAUAACCAA
This 2091-nucleotide ribosomal RNA is filed under the name human gut metagenome. Its description in RNAcentral is "bacterial LSU rRNA". It matches the Rfam family "Bacterial large subunit ribosomal RNA", at positions 809 to 2925 of the family's 2925-position model. The record is from RNAcentral.